Molecule: ribosomal RNA, 378 nt
Filed under: uncultured marine eukaryote
Lineage: Eukaryota
Description: SSU rRNA
Rfam family: Eukaryotic small subunit ribosomal RNA
Source: RNAcentral
AUAACAGGUCUGUGAUGCCCUUAGAUGUUCUGGGCCGCACGCGCGCUACACUGACGAGGACAACGAGUUUAUAACCUUCACCGGAAGGUGUGGGUAAUCUUUUGAACCCUCGUCGUGCUGGGGCUUGAUCUUUGCAAUUUUCGAUCACAAACGAGGAAUUCCUAGUAAGCGUGAUUCAUCAGAUCGCGUUGAUUACGUCCCUGCCCUUUGUACACACCGCCCGUCGCUACUACCGAUUGAAUGGUUUAGUGAGGCCUCGGGAUCAGCUUCUCGUCUCGGGCAACCGAGACUUGGAGCAGAGAACUUGGACAAACUUGAUCAUUUAGAGGAAGUAAAAGCCGUAACAAGGUUUCCGUAGGUGAACCUGCAGAAGGAUCA